GGUUAAGCGACUAAGCGUACACGGUGGAUGCCCUGGCAGUCAGAGGCGAUGAAGGACGUGCUAAUCUGCGAUAAGCGUCGGUAAGGUGAUAUGAACCGUUAUAACCGGCGAUUUCCGAAUGGGGAAACCCAGUGUGAUUCGUCACACUAUCAUUAACUGAAUCCAUAGGUUAAUGAGGCGAACCGGGGGAACUGAAACAUCUAAGUACCCCGAGGAAAAGAAAUCAACCGAGAUUCCCCCAGUAGCGGCGAGCGAACGGGGAGCAGCCCAGAGCCUGAAUCAGUGUGUGUGUUAGUGGAAGCGUCUGGAAAGGCGUGCGAUACAGGGUGACAGCCCCGUACACAAAAAUGCACAUACUGUGAGCUCGAUGAGUAGGGCGGGACACGUGGUAUCCUGUCUGAAUAUGGGGGGACCAUCCUCCAAGGCUAAAUACUCCUGACUGACCGAUAGUGAACCAGUACCGUGAGGGAAAGGCGAAAAGAACCCCGGCGAGGGGAGUGAAAAAGAACCUGAAACCGUGUACGUACAAGCAGUGGGAGCACGCUUAGGCGUGUGACUGCGUACCUUUUGUAUAAUGGGUCAGCGACUUAUAUUCUGUAGCAAGGUUAACCGAAUAGGGGAGCCGAAGGGAAACCGAGUCUUAACUGGGCGUUAAGUUGCAGGGUAUAGACCCGAAACCCGGUGAUCUAGCCAUGGGCAGGUUGAAGGUUGGGUAACACUAACUGGAGGACCGAACCGACUAAUGUUGAAAAAUUAGCGGAUGACUUGUGGCUGGGGGUGAAAGGCCAAUCAAACCGGGAGAUAGCUGGUUCUCCCCGAAAGCUAUUUAGGUAGCGCCUCGUGAAUUCAUCUCCGGGGGUAGAGCACUGUUUCGGCAAGGGGGUCAUCCCGACUUACCAACCCGAUGCAAACUGCGAAUACCGGAGAAUGUUAUCACGGGAGACACACGGCGGGUGCUAACGUCCGUCGUGAAGAGGGAAACAACCCAGACCGCCAGCUAAGGUCCCAAAGUCAUGGUUAAGUGGGAAACGAUGUGGGAAGGCCCAGACAGCCAGGAUGUUGGCUUAGAAGCAGCCAUCAUUUAAAGAAAGCGUAAUAGCUCACUGGUCGAGUCGGCCUGCGCGGAAGAUGUAACGGGGCUAAACCAUGCACCGAAGCUGCGGCAGCGACGCUUAUGCGUUGUUGGGUAGGGGAGCGUUCUGUAAGCCUGUGAAGGUGUGCUGUGAGGUAUGCUGGAGGUAUCAGAAGUGCGAA
RNAcentral lists this ribosomal RNA (1254 nucleotides) under Shigella flexneri. RNAcentral's name for it is "partial 23S ribosomal RNA". It matches the Rfam family "Bacterial large subunit ribosomal RNA", at positions 1 to 1294 of the family's 2925-position model. The record is from RNAcentral. Lineage: Bacteria; Pseudomonadati; Pseudomonadota; Gammaproteobacteria; Enterobacterales; Enterobacteriaceae.